RNAcentral lists this ribosomal RNA (492 nucleotides) under uncultured bacterium. RNAcentral describes it as "partial 16S ribosomal RNA". It matches the Rfam family "Bacterial small subunit ribosomal RNA", at positions 29 to 507 of the family's 1533-position model. The record is from RNAcentral.
AGUGAACGCUGGCGGUAGGCCUAACACAUGCAAGUCGAACGGCAGCACAGUAAGAGCUUGCUCUUACGGGUGGCGAGUGGCGGACAGGUGAGGAAUACAUCGGAAUCUACUUUUUCGUGGGGGAUAACGUAGGGAAACUUACGCUAAUACCGCAUACGACCUACGGGUGAAAGCAGGGGAUCUUCGGACCUUGCGCGAUUGAAUGAGCCGAUGUCGGAUUAGCUAGUUGGCGGGGUAAAGGCCCACCAAGGCGACGAUCCGUAGCUGGUCUGAGAGGAUGAUCAACCACACUGGAACUGAGACACGGUCCAGACUCCUACGGGAGGCAGCAGUGGGGAAUAUUGGACAAUGGGCGCAAGCCUGAUCCAGCCAUACCGCGUGGGUGAAGAAGGCCUUCGGGUUGUAAAGCCCUUUUGUUGGGAAAGAAAAGCAGCGGGUUAAUACCCCGCUGUUCUGACGGUACCCAAAGAAUAAGCACCGGCUAACUUCGUG